Molecule: long non-coding RNA, 476 nt
Organism: Cynoglossus semilaevis (tongue sole)
Lineage: Eukaryota; Metazoa; Chordata; Actinopteri; Pleuronectiformes; Cynoglossidae
Exons: 2
Source: RefSeq, a predicted model, not a curated record
CUACAGGAGGUGAAUUCAUCAAUGUUUGAUAGUUUUUUACCUGGGCAAACUAUGGCCUGUGGGCCAGAUCUGGUAUGGUGAAGACUUCUGUUUGUGACUUCUGUGAUGACUGUUGAAGCCACUAGAUGGCAGCAGACACCAAAUGUGCUAAAUAAUCUUACAAAAGUUUUUUGUUGUACAUUUAAUUUACUUCGCCAAGCUUUUUUACAUACAACCAAUACGGAACAAGCCUGCAAUUCAAAUUUUGAAUGUUAUUUUGGCCUGUGAGCCAAAAGGCUUGCCCAGUGUAGAAAAUAAGAACUUGCAUUAGUUAGUUAGUUAUUUUAUAUUUAAAUAAUGACUCAAAUUUUUAGGUGAAAGAACUCAGAAAAUAAUCAACUUUAUUAGUUUAAUUGUACUCUAAACUUUUAAAAUGAACACCUGUUAAAACAGUAAUUGGUGCAAAACAAAGGAUAAAAUCUCUGUCAAUUAAAAAA